GACGAACGCUGGCGGCGUGCUUAACACAUGCAAGUCGAACGGAAAGGCCCUGCUUUUGUGGGGUGCUCGAGUGGCGAACGGGUGAGUAACACGUGAGUAACCUGCCCUUGACUUUGGGAUAACUUCAGGAAACUGGGGCUAAUACCGGAUAGGAGCUCCUGCUGCAUGGUGGGGGUUGGAAAGUUUCGGCGGUUGGGGAUGGACUCGCGGCUUAUCAGCUUGUUGGUGGGGUAGUGGCUUACCAAGGCUUUGACGGGUAGCCGGCCUGAGAGGGUGACCGACCACAUUGGGACUGAGAUACGGCCCAGACUCCUACGGGAGGCAGCAGUGGGGAAUAUUGCACAAUGGGCGGAAGCCUGAUGCAGCAACGCCGCGUGCGGGAUGACGGCCUUCGGGUCGUAAACCGCUUUCGCCUGUGACGAAGCGUGAGUGACGGUAAUGGGUAAAGAAGCACCGGCUAACUACGUG
Molecule: ribosomal RNA, 468 nt
Filed under: uncultured bacterium
Lineage: Bacteria
Description: partial 16S ribosomal RNA
Rfam family: Bacterial small subunit ribosomal RNA
Source: RNAcentral